Molecule: transfer RNA, 73 nt
Filed under: Bradyrhizobium sp. CW1
Lineage: Bacteria; Pseudomonadati; Pseudomonadota; Alphaproteobacteria; Hyphomicrobiales; Nitrobacteraceae
Description: tRNA-Cys
Source: RNAcentral
GUCCGUUUGUUGUAAACGGUCCUAGCAGUCUGCAAAACCGUUUACUCGGGUUCGAGUCCCGACGUGGCCUCCA